Molecule: ribosomal RNA, 200 nt
Filed under: Anaerobiospirillum sp.
Lineage: Bacteria; Pseudomonadati; Pseudomonadota; Gammaproteobacteria; Aeromonadales; Succinivibrionaceae
Description: partial 16S ribosomal RNA
Rfam family: Bacterial small subunit ribosomal RNA
Source: RNAcentral
UAAUUGAAGAGUUUGAUCAUGGCUCAGAGUGAACGUUGGCGGCAGGCUUAAUACAUGCGAGUCGAACGGUAACAGGAAGGAAGCUUGCUUCCUUUGCUGACGAGUGGCGGACGGGUGAGUAAUGCCUGGGAAUCUGCCUGAUAGUGGGGGACAACAGUUGGAAACGACUGCUAAUACCGCAUGCUCCCGAAAGGGGAAAG